AGGGUUGUAGUUAAGUAUAACAUUUGGUUUGCAUCCAAAAAGUACCGCAAGGUCUGCCUUA
Molecule: transfer RNA, 61 nt
Filed under: Cryptotermes parvifrons
Lineage: Eukaryota; Metazoa; Arthropoda; Insecta; Blattodea; Kalotermitidae
Description: tRNA-Ala
Rfam family: tRNA
About the family: Transfer RNA (tRNA) molecules are approximately 80 nucleotides in length. Their secondary structure includes four short double-helical elements and three loops (D, anti-codon, and T loops).
Source: RNAcentral